GCGGAAACUCUGGGAGAGAGGAGACCGCGGGUGACCCCUAGGCCUGAGAAACCCUGAUCAGACCUUCUGGGCCGGGCGCCCGGACCCGUGCCUGGUCCCAGAGGACUUAUUUAAAUCAUGGCCCCUUUAUGAAGUAGUAUUGCAGUCCCUAUUUUACAGAUGAAGAAAUUGAGACCUCAAGAGCCUCAGCAACCUGCCAAAGAUCACACACCUAUUUUCCAUAUUGUUUGGAGUUUCAACAUUCAUUUCUUCCCAAUUGCACAAAUGCAUCAAGCCCAGAGAAACUUGGCUUUUAGAUCUACAUGGUUGCUUGCAGAAUUGUG
RNAcentral lists this long non-coding RNA (323 nucleotides) under Heterocephalus glaber (naked mole-rat). RNAcentral describes it as "lncRNA (ENSHGLG00100033570.1)". Lineage: Eukaryota; Metazoa; Chordata; Mammalia; Rodentia; Bathyergidae. The record is from RNAcentral.